RNAcentral lists this ribosomal RNA (490 nucleotides) under uncultured bacterium. RNAcentral describes it as "partial 16S ribosomal RNA". It matches the Rfam family "Bacterial small subunit ribosomal RNA", at positions 30 to 507 of the family's 1533-position model. The record is from RNAcentral.
AUUGAACGCUGGCGGCAGGCCUAACACAUGCAAGUCCAACGGUAACAGGAAACAGCUUGCUGUUUCGCUGACGAGUGGCGGACGGGUGAGUAAUGUCUGGGAAACUGCCUGAUGGAGGGGGAUAACUACUGGAAACGGUAGCUAAUACCGCAUAACGUCGCAAGACCAAAGAGGGGGACCCUCGGGCCUCUUGCCCUCGGAUGUGCCCAGAUGGGAUUAGCUUGUUGGUGGGGUAACGGCUCACCAAGGCGACGAUCCCUAGCUGGUCUGAGAGGAUGACCAGCCACACUGGAACUGAGACACGGUCCAGACUCCUACGGGAGGCAGCAGUGGGGAAUAUUGCACAAUGGGCGCAAGCCUGAUGCAGCCAUGCCGCGUGUAUGAAGAAGGCCUUCGGGUUGUAAAGUACUUUCAGCGGGGAGGAAGGGAGUAAAGUUAAUACCUUUGCUCAUUGACGUUACCCGCAGAAGAAGCACCGGCUAACUCCGUG